This 8125-nucleotide long non-coding RNA is filed under the name Daucus carota (carrot). RNAcentral describes it as "long non-coding RNA (DCAR_LNC007071)". Lineage: Eukaryota; Viridiplantae; Streptophyta; Magnoliopsida; Apiales; Apiaceae. The record is from RNAcentral.
CCCCCCCACAUCCGUGAUAUUCCCCUUCCAUAGAAAUCUGGUAAGAAUCUGUUGUAUACGCUUGUGGAUGCAUUUAGGUAAAACAAAAUGCCGAGUCCAAAAGUUUUGAAUGCUUAGGAGAACCACUUCAAUCAAACGAAGCCGACCCAUGUAAGAGAGCAACAAAGCAGUCCAAGAGAUGAUUCUGGAGGUGAUUCGAUCGAUCAAAGGAACACAAUCAUUUACACUCAUCUUGGAAGAAAUGAGGGGCACCCCCAAGAACUUAACCGGAAGCAGCCCACGAGGCAUGGCAAAAUUCAAGUCAAACCAGUCCACCAAAUCAGGCUUGCAGUUACAAAAGAAACUGGUGCUUUUGUUAAUGCUAGCUGAGAGCCCACUCAAGGAUCCAAAAAGAGUCAGACUGUCCAUAAGACAUAGGGUCCCCUUGACGGAUGCCCUUUGCCCCCUUAAAAUAGCCACAGGAUGCUCCAUUUAUCUUGAUGGAAAACAUAGCCGUAGUAACACACUCGCGAACCCAAGCAACAAAACGAGGUGGGAAAUUCAUAUGAGCCAUAGCAGCAAAAAUAAACUCCCAAUUAAUGGAGUCAAAAGCCUUGUGCAAAUCAAUCUUUAAAGCACACUUGGGAGUACCUGUAUCACGGGAGUAUCCCCUAAACAAUUCCUGAGCCAUCAAAAUGUUGUCUGAAAUCUAUCUUCCAGGAAUGAAAGCAGACUGGGCAUGAUCAAUGAGGGAGGGCAAAAGAAUCUUGAGUCUUGAAGCCAGAAUUUUUGAGAUGCAUUUGUAGACCAUGGUGCACAGAGAAAUGGGCCUAAAGUCCUUCAUAGAAUCCGCAGCCGGGUGCUUAGGAAUUAAAGCUAUAAGGGUGGAAUUAGCACCCUUAUUCAUGACCGAGUGCUCAAAGAAAUCCUUGACAGCAAUGCAAAAUAAAGGCCCAACAAUAUCCCAACAAUGAAGAUAAAACUCCACGUUAAAUCCUUCGGGGCCCGGGGCUUUGUUGCGUUUCAUGCCCUUUAGAGUCUUAAAAAUCAAAGCAUCCGUCACAGGGGCAAGAAGGGCAGGGUGGGCUUGAUCUGGGAGCCGUCCACAAUCAAAAUUCAGAACAGGAGUAGGGGUUGCACUCGAGGAGCCAAUAGAGUUUUUAAAGAAAUCAAUCGCCACAGAGGCCACAUUCUUGUGACCUAAAACAAGUUGUCCAGAGGUAUCCUUGAUUGAGAGAAUUUUGUUGUGAUUCCAAUUCUUUUUCGUUUGAUUGAAAAAGAAACUAUUGUUGUUGUCACCAAGGGAGAGCCAUGAUACCCUAGAUUUUUGUUUGUAGAAAGUUUCUUCAUGGUUGAGAGCUUUGAGGAGGUCAUCCCCCCCCUGGGAUUCAUCACGCAACAGAACAGGGUCACGGGGAGACCUGAGAAGGGCAGUUUGAGUUGCAGCAAGGGCAGCACGGGCAUCAAGGGUUUUAACACGUAGAUCACCAUGAUUUUUGUUAAGUCUAACCAAGUUCUGCUUUACAAGCUUGAGUUUUCUACCAAGAACAGCCAAGGGGUCACCAAACAGGGGCUGAUCCCAAGCACUCUGCACAGCCGCAUCAAAACCAUCAAGUUCAAACAUGAAAUUAAAAAAUUGAAAGUUUUUGUGCACCUUGUCAAUUUCCAUAGGAACAUGAAUUUUGAGAGGACAGUGGUCCAUGAGACCACGAUUAAGAACAUGACAUUGAGCAUCCGGAUGAGCCAAAAGCCAGGCAGAAUUUACAAUAGCCCGAUCCAACCUUUUGGAAACCCUGUCGUUGCCUCGAUUAUUAGACCAAGUAAAUAAGUGACCCACUGUUGAGAGAUCACUAAGAUGAGAGUCCAUCAAACAAUCUCUAAACUGCUCCAUAUCGGGGGUCCAAUGCUGUCGCCCCCCAUCAAUCUCAUUUAACCCAACAACACAGUUAAAGUCACCAAGGAGGACCCAAGGCAGAGUAGUGGUGCUUUUAGAACGGAUGUAAUUCCAUAAAGGAACACGGUCACAAGCAUCAUUAUAAGCAUAAACAAAAGUGGCCAAAAAAGAAAGAUUCUUCUCUUUAAAAUUGCAACUACAAGUAAUCCAUUGAGCAUGACAGUCAACCAAAGUGACAUCCCAAAAAUUAGGGUCCCAUCCCACCCAUAUGCGACCAUUAUAAUGAAAAUCAUUAUUAAACAACCAAUUCCAACCCUUUUUGAUUCUUUUCGAAAUAGAGGAGCAAUUAUGAGACUUUACCUUGGUUUCCAGAAAACCACAAAAUGAGAGAUCAUUAGAGUUGAUGAAGUUGACCACUUCAUCCUGGUGGGGUUUUUUGUUCAACCCCCUAACAUUCCAAGCGGCUAGAUUCAUUGAGAGGCCUUGGUUGCAUCACCUUGCAACCUACGGCUCCUUUUUGGGAGAGUUGAACCUUUAUCACCAUUACCAAGACCUCGUUUGCUGGGAGACGCUUGUUGAACCUUACUCCUCUGUUUCUUCUUACCCUUGCUAGCCGGGGUGAAUUCCCCUUCUUCAAGUGCAGGAGGCAACGGGGGCAAAGCCAUGGCACCCCCAGGCGCAGCAAGACCAAAAACCACAACAUUAGGGCCAUGAGCAUAGGAAUUAUGUAUUCCAGUGUUAUCUAUCAUAACAUCAUCAUCAACAUCAGCUAGAGCCUGAAAUCUGUUAGGGGAAUUUAUUUGUUCUUGAUCAGCAAAAGCAGCGUCAAGAGGAGCGCUCUCCAGGAUGCCCUCGAGCGCAACAGGGGCAUUUUCGGGCACUGGAGUCUGAACAGAAUCCGUAGCGGUGUGCUGGACUUGAGUGUAGGCCAUAUCACGAGCCAAGUCAGUUAUGAUGUCUGCCAUAUGUUGAAUCAUUUCCACGUCCUCCAGUUCCUCCAGUUGAGUAUUUCCAUUUUGUUGCUGCAACUCAGUAUGCUCGGGAGGAGCCCGAGUGGUGCUCUUGGGAGUAUCAGAUUUGGGCUCCCCAUGGUGCGCAGGAGGAGUUCGAGUGGAGCCCUUAUCAGAACUAGGAUCCUUGACCUUGUUCGGGUUUUUAGUGCAUCUUGCCAACGAAUGGCCAUAGCAAGCACAUAGGCUACAAGAAAGAGGCAUGGCAGAGUAGAGAACUUGCACUUUCACUUUAACAAUGGAACCAUCUUCAUCACUUAUAACCGGAACCCAAAUGAAAUCUGGUUUUGGUGAUUUGUAAGAGACCUCCACAAGAACACGAGCAUAUCUCAUGGGCUCUAGCUUGGCAGUAGGAGCAUCCAACGUAAUCGGUUUCCCAACAGCCCUAGCCAACAUUCUAAUGCCCUCAGCUGUCCAGUAAGAGUGAGGGACAUCUGAAAAUUGAACCCAAAUUGAUACAAACGGUAUCACAUUCCUCUGGAAAUUAGUGCCUUCAAUCCAAGCACCCAAAUACAUCCUUUUACCACCCAUCAUCAUAGAGCUAGCACCCAAAAAACUCUUCAUUUCAUCUUCAGUUUUAAAUUCGAAAGUGUAGUAUCCUUUCGAAUUGAAGUAAACAUUCAGAAGACCCCUGUUUUUCCACAUCUUUAAGGCAUUUUCCUUUACAAAUUUAAAAGAAAAACCCCCACCAACAAAGUACCCAAUGCAACUUGUAGCCCAUCUCUUUCUCCCAGCAAGAAGAAAUGACUUUGGGGGACUCAAAUUGGCCGAACCAUCAACAUUAUAAGAUAAAGAAGGCUCAGGAGUCGAGCUAUCAUUUUGUGGGACAAAAGGAGCCACAAUAGAAGACCAUGUCUUGGCAUCCUUGGGCGCAACAGGGGCGCUAGUACCUACAUCAGGAUUAGAAUUUCCAACACACAAAAUGCCCUGCCUUACACAAAAAUCUCGUGCAACAGAAGCAAGAGUUGGACGAAUAACACCAUUAUCAUCAACCUUACGGGCAUGUAAAUUUGAUAAACUGGACUGAUAAGCAUUAAAAUCAUCAAGAAGCCCUUUUGACUUUAAAAAGUUCACAUAAUCCAGUUUAAAACGAUUAGCUUUAAUAAUCUCAGGAUGGUUAUCAAUGCUUACCCCAAUUGAGCUGCUAGACUCAGACUGAGUGUGCGAGUGGUCCCGUAUGGUGCCCCCAGCAUCCAUAAUGGCAAAGUCCUGUCUAAGUCUGGUGAGAGUCCCAGGAGGAGCAUUCACAUACAUAUCAUUUGUAUGAACACUUUCUUCAUCAGAAAGAUUAUCAAACACAGCUUGAAAUUGAACCAUGGCACCAGGACCAGGCGCUACAGGCGCAUUCUCGGGCACAGCGCCCACAUCGGGCACCGCCUGAGCAUCCUCGAGCGCAGCGCCCACAUCGGGAACCGCCUGAGCAUCCUCGAGCGCAGCGCCCACCACGGGCAUAGCUAGAGCAUCUACAGGCGCAGCAACAGCCAAAGGCAUUUCGUCGAGCACAACAAGGGCAUUCUCAGGCACCACUGGAGCAACAAGCCCAGGAGGCGGCAAGGGGGGAAAAUCAUCCAUAAAGUAACAGAUCGGAAAGAGAACACAGAUGGGGAUGUAGAGCAGGUGAAGGGGAACAAGAUGAGACAGGAGGUGAGAACCAACGCGCGCCGUCCGGGCGCCGGACGGGCACCUAGGGGCGCGGAGCGCGAAAAGUGUUUAGGCGGGAAAGUUAGAGAGAAGGGAGAGCUUCUCUCUCUUGAAAAGAAAGGGGCAACUAACUAACUACGAGCUUUUUUUUUUUGCUAAAUGGAUAUAUAUAUAAAAAAAGGAGAAGAAUAUACAAAGGAAUCAAGAGGCUUGCCACAAAAACUUUCUAUAACCAAUCUCAAAAGAGGAGAUUGAAGAUAGAAAGAGGCAGCUCACAGAGCAUGGGACAGACCCCCAAGGCAAAGCCAAAAGACUACUAACCACAGCUACGAGCUAAACAACUAAGCUAGUAAAUACAUCAAAAGAGCCAAGUACAAAUCACAGGCCUACUACAAAUGAGUCUAGAUAACCAAUGAGAAGAAGCAGCUCUUCCCCGAAUAUCAACCAUAAUCCCAUCAAGAAGCUUCCUAGGGCCAAAGCUGCCACCCCCAUGAAGUCGAGCAUUUCGCUCACGCCACAAGUGGUAAGCAAAGGUCUGAAAAUAGAGCAACAAAAUCUGUCUCUGAGGAAUAUCAGCAAUGGCAAGAGUAAGCAAAAUCCAGUCCUUCCAGUCCAAAGAGUGGUCGAGGGUGAAGCCAUGAACCUCGAAUAAAUAAGCCCUGUGAAUGAACUUGGCGUAGGGGCAAGCAAUAAAAAGAUGCUGUGCCGUCUCCGUAGCCCCUACACAAAAAAUGCAAGUAGAAUCCUCAAUAACAUGACGAUCCUGCAAAGUAGAACGAGUAACAACUCUGUCAAGACAAAGUAACCAAGAUAGAAAACAGAAACGAGUAAUUCCAAGCUUGAACCAAACCCCGGACGCCCAAGGGCAAAGCGUCCCCCGAACACGAAUAGACUCCCAAAUAACCCGAGUACAAACAUCACCCUUCUUGACACCAUCCCAAGAAAUCAGAUCAGAUUUCUCCAAAUCAAAAGAGGGGUAAUCAAAAUCCCUAAUCCAGGAAGCAAGAGAAGGGUUGGCAUGGUGGAGCUGCGAGUUUCCCCUGGGCAAGCGCCACUCCCCAAAACAGAUCAAUGUAUAAACCAAUGCACUAGAAGAAGACCCAGCAGCAUGAAUGAUAGGAUCAUUCAAAGAAGAAGCAAGACUCUGAUGUUUCCACCAGGGGUCAAACCAAAGAGAGGUACCGAGACCAUUUCCAAUGGAGUAACAAAUGAACUGUUUGGCCACCUCACGAAGGGAUAAAACCUUACGCCAAAUCCAAGAGCAAUCAGUAGGGGUGGGGAUGACCCAGAAGCUACGACCCCUUAAGACACUAUUGUUAACCCAUUUCGACCACAAAGAGUCCUUUUGAGUUACCACAGACCAAAGAUGAAACAAAAUUUGUGCUUGGUUCCAUUCCGUGGAUUUUUUAAGACCCAAGCCCCCCUCCUCCUUUGGUAGACAAAGAUUGAGCCAAGAAACUUUGCCCCCCCCCACAUCCGUGAUAUUCCCCUUCCAUAGAAAUCUGGUAAGAAUCUGUUGUAUACGCUUGUGGAUGCAUUUAGGUAAAACAAAAUGCCGAGUCCAAAAGUUUUGAAUGCUUAGGAGAACCACUUCAAUCAAACGAAGCCGACCCAUGUAAGAGAGCAACAAAGCAGUCCAAGAGAUGAUUCUGGAGGUGAUUCGAUCGAUCAAAGGAACACAAUCAUUUACACUCAGCUUGGAAGAAAUGAGGGGCACCCCCAAGAACUUAACCGGAAGCAGCCCACGAGGCAUGGCAAAAUUCAAGUCAAACCAGUCUACCAAAUCAGGCUUGCAGUUACAAAAGAAACUGGUGCUUUUGUUAAUGCUAGCCGAGAGCCCACUCAAGGAUCCAAAAAGAGUCAGACUGUCCAUAAGAUGAGUAAUGGAAGCCUUAUCCCCAUGACAAAACAACAAGACAUCAUCAGCAAAGAAUAGAUGGGUCAAGCGUAGCUCCUUGCAUUUCCAAUGGAACUUGAAACCGGGAGGGGGGCUGUUGAGAAUACAAGAUAAGACAUGCAUAGCUAUGGAGAAAAGAUAAGGAGACAUAGGGUCCCCUUGACGGAUGCCCUUUGCCCCCUUAAAAUAGCCACAGGAUGCUCCAUUUAUCUUGAUGGAAAACAUAGCCGUAGUAACACACUCGCGAACCCAAGCAACAAAACGAGGUGGGAAAUUCAUAUGAGCCAUAGCAGCAAAAAUAAACUCCCAAUUAAUGGAGUCAAAAGCCUUGUGCAAAUCAAUCUUUAAAGCACACUUGGGAGUACCAGUAUCACGGGAGUAUCCCCUAAACAAUUCCUGAGCCAUCAAAAUGUUGUCUGAAAUCUGUCUUCCAGGAAUGAAAGCAGACUGGGCAUGAUCAAUGAGGGAGGGCAAAAGAAUCUUGAGUCUUGAAGCCAGAAUUUUUGAGAUGCAUUUGUAGACCAUGGUGCACAGAGAAAUGGGCCUAAAGUCCUUCAUAGAAUCCGCAGCCGGGUGCUUAGGAAUUAAAGCUAUAAGGGUGGAAUUAGCACCCUUAUUCAUGACCGAGUGCUCAAAGAAAUCCUUGACAGCAAUGCAAAAUAAAGGCCCAACAAUAUCCCAACAAUGAAGAUAAAACUCCACGUUAAAUCCUUCGGGGCCCGGGGCUUUGUUGCGUUUCAUGCCCUUUAGAGUCUUAAAAAUCAAAGCAUCCGUCACAGGGGCAAGAAGGGCAGGGUGGGCUUGAUCUGGGAGCCGUCCACAAUCAAAAUUCAGAACAGGAGUAGGGGUUGCACUCGAGGAGCCAAUAGAGUUUUUAAAGAAAUCAAUCGCCACAGAGGCCACAUUCUUGUGACCUAAAACAAGUUGUCCAGAGGUAUCCUUGAUUGAGAGAAUUUUGUUGUGAUUCCAAUUCUUUUUCGUUUGAUUGAAAAAGAAACUAUUGUUGUUGUCACCAAGGGAGAGCCAUGAUACCCUAGAUUUUUGUUUGUAGAAAGUUUCUUCAUGGUUGAGAGCUUUGAGGAGGUCAUCCCCCCCCUGGGAUUCAUCACGCAACAGAACAGGGUCACGGGGAGACCUGAGAAGGGCAGUUUGAGUUGCAGCAAGGGCAGCACGGGCAUCAAGGGUUUUAACACGUAGAUCACCAUGAUUUUUGUUAAGUCUAACCAAAUUCUGCUUUACAAGCUUGAGUUUUCUACCAAGAACAGCCAAGGGGUCACCAAACAAGGGCUGAUCCCAAGCACUCUGCACAGCCGCAUCAAAACCAUCGAGUUCAAACAUGAAAUUAAAAAAUUGAAAGUUUUUGUGCACCUUGUCAAUUUCCAUAGGAACAUGAAUUUUGAGAGGACAGUGGUCCAUGAGACCACGAUUAAGAACAUGACAUUGAGCAUCCGGAUGAGCCAAAAGCCAGGCAGAAUUUACAAUAGCCCGAUCCAACCUUUUGGAAACCCUGUCGUUGCCUCGAUUAUUAGACCAAGUAAAUAAGUGACCCACUGUUGAGAGAUCACUAAGAUGAGAGUCCAUCAAACAAUCUCUAAACUGCUCCAUAUCGGGGGUCCAAUGCUGUCGCCCCCCAUCAAUCUCAUUUAACCCAACAACACAGUUAAAGUCACCAAGGAGGACCCAAGGCAGAGUAGUGGUGCUUUU